Molecule: long non-coding RNA, 380 nt
Organism: Manacus vitellinus (golden-collared manakin)
Lineage: Eukaryota; Metazoa; Chordata; Aves; Passeriformes; Pipridae
Exons: 3
Source: RefSeq, a predicted model, not a curated record
UCUCACAGGGUGGGGUGGUUCCCUGAUGUAAGAGCUUCCUCCUGGACCUGUAAUGCUGAGCUCAGAUCUUCUGCCACUCACAGUGAUGACUGUCCCUCUGGGCAAGAACAUGUGGCCUUUCCACGCAGCAGCAGAGCAGCCCAGGUGAUGAGUUCUCACUCCACACCGUUUCCAGGUCCCCAGAAGAAGUGAAUCCCAGAGACUCUCCUGAUGCUAGAAGAGCAAACAAAAGGAGCAGGCAAAGAGGACACAAGCAGCAAGAAAUGCUUGCCAUCUUCUACAUGGACAAGAUUGCAAAACAGGGUGGGGACCUUGAAAGAAAGAAACUGCCUAAUUUGAUCUGCUGAUUACAUCCUGUGCUCCUAAGCCCUGGACAGGGG